This is an RNA transcript of Microplitis mediator, 7862 nucleotides long. RefSeq lists it as uncharacterized. The transcript is spliced from 9 exons. Lineage: Eukaryota; Metazoa; Arthropoda; Insecta; Hymenoptera; Braconidae. The record is from RefSeq and is a predicted model, not a curated record.
CAGGCUAGCAAAGUGUACUGGAGUGUAUGGCUCCCUUGCGUAAUAGUAGUACGUUGUCACAUAACGUCAGGCGAUGGUUUAGAUAGUAUGGUAGCUUUCGCUAGAGCAUUAUCAUCACCCCUUGAAAAAUACCACGAGCUACGAGGGUAAGUAUAUCCGGAUCGAUUGUCGAGCUUCAACCACUGGCGCCACAUUCGAGCUCACGGCUGAUAAAAUGUCCAAUAUAGAAUAACGUCGUGCUGGUUUAGCUUGCGCGUCGACUCCAUGACCAACCACCCUAUACAUUCAUUCUAUAUAUAUAUAUAUAUAUAUAUGUACAUGCUUUACUACACCCUCGCUUUACUUUUUUUCCAGUCGCGUACGAGCAGCGUGCGAGAGAGUGACGUGUGCGGAGUUACCACCGAGGGUACUCGCGCGUCGUUUAGUCGGAGGAAAGUGCUGAUGCCCAAGUGCCUGAUGAUGAGUCUCUGGUCCUCGUAAAAAUGUAAAUAGAGUGGUCGUGUGAGAGGGGAGUGGGGCCUGGGGCUUUCAUACUCUCUUAUAUUUUUUUUUUAAAUCCACUGAUAUAUUUGUUUAAAAUAAUUUAUCUAAAUGAUAUUGAACGGCAUUGAUUGUCGUUAGUAAUCAUAAUCAUAAAUUAUUUUUUUGUAACUGGAGCUAAUUGUGAAGACUCGCUUAUAUAUGAACAGACUAGAUCGCACAGUAUUUUGCGAUAAUAACGUAAACGAGGACGUUGUUGGAUAAGAGAUAAUAAUAAUUUAUAAAAUAAAACAUACAAAAAAGACAGAUUGAGUCUGCGACAGCUAUUAGGGCGAGCCGUGAGUCGUUUGUCGAUGCACACAUGGAAGGCAUGGAAUAGCCGAUCGAUUUAAAGUGCACCAGGAAGGGAGAAUUAACGAGGAAUAAUUAAAGUGACGAAUUGAGAAUGGCGUCAAGAUUGCCAAGCAGUCAUCAGAGGAAGCUGGGACCGGCGCCGAUCGCAUCGUUCGAGGAUUUGUCCGACGAGGUGGAAAACGGAGAAUCGACAACAGCACGAAUGCCGGGGAUUAUUGAGGUGACGACUCCUAUAACACCUGGUAGCUCACUCAAGACUCCCAGCACCCCGAGGAUUGACAUCAGUCGGGCCAGCAGUUCAUCCCAUCAUGAGGACAGUAACAACUCAAGAGAAUCUUCUCCCGAGAGAGAAUUACUGGCAGGAGCAGAGCCACCAGCCGGAACGACUCUGUCGUUGGGUUACAAAGAAGAUGCCCAGGAUUUGCGAUCGUCUACAGAGGAACUGGACUUGCAGGAUCCAGUUCACGCUCAAGAUCUUAAAAGAGACUCAAAGAGAGCACGAAGGAAAAAAGAAGACGGCACACAAUCAGAGUGUGGAAUUAGUUUGAAACAUGAACGGGAACGUAAAGAUAGUAAUUGUUCCGAGAUUAUUUUACUUAAUAUCAGUGGCAGAACGUCACGGCUGUCUUCCGUUGGGAGUCAAGGCUCCGGUGUAUCCGGAAGACUCUCAGUUGUCUCUGCUACCUCUUCCAGAUCACCCAGUCCGCACAAAUGUCUCCUAGAGACGUCAUUCUGUGGCAGCAAGCCCACGUUAGCGGAAACAUCGAUUGAAACUUCAAAACCAGAGACAGAAGACUUGGAGAUUAUGUUACUGAAGCGGGAGGCUGACACGACAAAAGCCCUUAUUCCGGAGAGCAUAAAGGUGCCAAUGGUAGGCGGGAAUCUAAAGCCUGAUCCCCUGGAUAAGCCAAGAAGACGGGGGUAUGAAGAACGUAAAGAAAUAUUUAAACGUGAAGUCGAGAUCACGAAGCGGGUCUUGGAAAAGGUCAACAUUGAGGUUCCAAUUAUUAGGAAACCGCAGAAAGUUGAGGAACGAGAUGUAAAAACGGGUGUUGAGGUACAGAAGCCAGUGACGCUUGACUUUAAUGAUAAGAGAAAAAAAGCUCAAAAUUUUAAGGAUGUGGUUCAGACAACUCCGAGCAUCGGGAGUCUCAGUGGGAGUCCGAAACUCCCGCGGCAUCAGAAAGUUCGGGAACUCGAAGGUUCGAGAACUCCAAGUCCUUCAUCGGUUUCGAGAAAAAGUAGUUUUGCGUCUUUAUUCAAAACGCGGACGGAAGUUAAUGCAUUGAGUCCCGAGUCACCUUCGCCGACGCCGAGCGCGAAGCCUCGACGGAGCUUGACAUCUAAGAUUAAAGAUACGACGGAAAGCUUGAGAAGUAGAUCUAAAUCCCGAGAGCGCACGUCUGUUGAUAAAGGAAGUACGAAGAAUAAAAAUGUUUUUACGUCAACGCUGAGUAUUUUCAAGAAACGUGAGAGGAAGAAAAGUAUUCAGUAUGACGGAGGCAGUACUCCGGACCAUGAACUAAUGGGUCAUCCGUCGCUGGAGAGUAUCGGGAAUGUCGAGUUUAGAUUCGAGGCGGAUCGACCCAGUCGCAAUGAAGAUUCAAUUUUUAUAAGCUUGCAUGCUGACUCGAGAAAUUAUGAGGAGGCUUUGCCGUCUGAGAGCGUGUCUAUACCCAUUGAGACGCCGACAAAAUUGUUGGAUGAGUACGAAAACGAACCACGGACAGGCAAUAUCGUGACUGAGGCAUCGAUCGAACAUCAGGGCUCGGGGAUAAGGAUAAGAACUGAGGCGAUGAUUGAGUCGACGGGUCGCGAGGAAGUUCAGAGUCCCCUGCGGCCGAGCACGUCGAAAGAUUCCCAGUUGUCAAAGAGUUCGUCGAAGGACUCGCGGGUCAGUAUUCAAACGGCAAAACACAUUGAGGUCCCGUCAAGACCUGGGUCUGCGGAGGUCGGGAAAUCCAGCGACGCUAAGUCGGUCAGUGUUUCGAGUAGGGAUUCCGUUGAAAGCAAGAGCAGGGUAGCUGGUGAACCCAUCGUCAAGCCAAAGAGGAAAAGCAAAGAGAGUGUGUCAAGAGUUGAAAGUAAAUCAAAAGUUGUCGAGAGUAAAUCAAAUGGUGAUAAAAGUAAAUCGGGGAUAGAAAUCGACGGUCUGUCGAUAAAUGAAGAAAGUCAAUUGAGAAUAACAGAAAGUGAUAAAAAAAAUAAAGUAAACGGAACUGAAAGCUCGUCUUGUAAGUUGCCGCCAGAGACUGAUAAAUCCUCAGAGUCAACUCAAAGAUUAUCUGAAAGUCUUAUGGUUAAAUCUCAAGAUGGUUUAGUUAAGACACCGAGUGUAGUUUCUGAUUUAGAUCACAAUAGUUCCGAGUCUGAGCGUGAUUCCGAAAUUGAUUUUGUGAGAAAUAAGGUAGUGAAAGUUGUUAGCGAUGAGUUACCGGACGAGAGAAAGGGUUUGUUUAAUGAGGAAAGUUUUGAAGAGGAUCUUCCUUACGUGCCAACGACGUUGCCCAUGGAGAAGAGUGUCGCCGUACCAAUGCUGCCAGUAAAACAGCGGCUGCAAGAAGUAAGAACGAUCCCAAUAGAGCGGCCGAGAUCUACAACUCCCAUUAAUCCAACUCUGCUCGACGAAUUCGUUAUGCAGACAUCACACGACGACAAACGGGCUGACAAAAUGAAGAUUUCGUUGCCGCGGGAAGACAGUUUCAAAUUAAAAAGUCCACGCAAGCACUCGAUGAACACAUUUAGUGAGUUUGCCGAGCGCGUGGUACCCGAUGCUGUCAAAAGAGCCGCGGGAAAGUCACCGAGUCCACCGCCACCACUGCCACCCAGAGCACCCGCCGUUCGGCCAACGAAUUGGGUUAAUUUUGAAGAAAUUCCUGAGCGCCGAAAAGCUCCCAAGAGGAUCCAAACGAUACCACGUCCAGAGGAAGACAGCAAAGCUGGUUACAGUUACGUCCAGCCAGAGGAAUGUCGAUGCGAGUGUCACGAAGAAUCUAGAAGAGCUUCCCAUAGAGAACCAACCGCUGGUUCCAGCAUAAAUACCGGAAUUACUGCCAGCAUUUCGUCGGCAUCAGCGACUCACGGGUCCUCUGUAACCCGAACUUCGUCAACAUGCAGCAGCAGCAAUGGGGAGCGCGCUUGCAAUGGCGAUAAUUGCACAGUUCCUACGAGCUCGGGUGAUCGUGCCAGUAUCGUGAGUGACAGCUCUCUGGAUCUAAGUCCCGUUAACGAGGAUCCGAUUGCGACACAAGCGCUCUUAGGACCCAUGAAACCCUUCGCGAUGGAUCUUGACGUCGGAUCAAAUCGAUCUAGUAUCAUAUCCCAGGAAGAGACUGACGAUAUUAAUCUGUAGAAGAUUUAAACAUUAACUGAAAAUUUAUUUUUAUUUUAUUUAUUUCGGUGUUAAACUAAAAACCCGUGACAGUUUCAGGGAAUUGAUUUUAUGAUUGUGAAUACACACUGUCUCAAUAGCAGUUUACUAAACUCGACAUUAUUUUUGACGUUUAAAAGUAAAAUAAUGAGUCUGACCUAGAUCUUUUGAGUCACACUGAAUUUUUAUGUUCUUUAAAUGGAUAAAAAUCUAAUGACAUAAAUGAAAUAUUUGGUAAAAAAAUAUAUUAUUUUUGAACAAAAGUUUCUGAUGAUUAAAUUGGGUUAGCGGAGUGACGAGAAGAGAACGAAACAUAUGAAGGAAAAAUAUAAUAAAAACUUUGAACAUUUACCGGAAAAUAAAUGGCGAAAUGGGUGAGUGAGUUGUAAUAAUCAAUACUUGAUGCUUGUGUUAUUAUUAUUAUAUUUAUUUAUUUAUUUAUUAUUGUUACUAUUAUAAUUAUUGUUGCAAGAGGAAGUUUAAAAUUUGUUCACAAGCCAGACUUCGUCGUCUAUUUCCAACCAUUAAAUUAAUUUUAAAUUUAUACUUCUCGAGCAAACGAUCGAUUGACCCUCAUCUCGCUGGCUUAUUCUUUAAUAAUUUAAAAAAUAACGACAUAUUUAUUCUCGAGAAAAAACCCAUGAAAAAGUAAUAAACACACUGUAAAAAAUUUGCGGAGUGAACGCGGGGCGGUUGAGUUUUAUCCAUUUAAUUCUUUCAGAGUUAAUUUCACUCCGAAGGAAGGUUUCGGAAAAUAUUAAUUAUAAAAAAAAUACUAAUACAUAGUGAGCUUAGGUCUUUGAUAUUUUGACAUUUAUAUUGAGUACGGAAAUAAUUACGAGCUCCUUUUCCAUAUUUUUACUCGAAAUGAUUUUUAAAAACUACAAGCAGCUGAUAAUAAAACUUGAACAAAUAAAAUUCCAUUGAGUCACAAACUGUCUUAUGACUUACAUCAACCAUACCACGAGAUAACAUUUCAUACUGUACCGAAAUAUAAAAUAUUCCCAUAAAAACUAUGUCACUAUAGCUAUUCAAUAAUUUAAUAUUUUCGCUAUGUAUUAUAUAUAUGAAAUUAUAAUUUAGUGAGUUAUUACAAAAUUUUAUAAAUAAAAAACAUAGUAUUUUAAGUUUAAUUAUUAAUAUCUGAAUGAAUUAUUUAUUAAAAUUAUUAUGUUUCUAAUUAACAGCUGUUUUUAUUAAAUAUAAAUUUAUUUAAGUAUUAAAACUCCGGACCUGAGUGAAUGCGGUUGAAAUAAAAUCUGCGUCAUUCCGAAAUCACUCCGUCAAUAAAAAAAAUCCCAAUUCACUCCUUGUGCGGAGUGAUUUUUUUUAAAACUCCGGAUUGAAAUAAUAUUCGUAUUCAUGCCGGAUUCACUCCCGAUUUUUUACAGUGUAAAAUAAAAUUCAGUUUUUAGACCGAUCGAUUACGGUGGGCUAAAAAUUUUAAUUUUAUUUAUUAAUUAUAAGGAUUUAUCAAUAAAAAUAAUAAUAAUUAUUAUUAUUAUUAUUACGUAAUAAAUAAGAGAAAAAAUAUUUAAUUGUAAUUACGAGACCACUUGCGAUGUUAAUAGUUAAUUAACGCGAUUCGCGUCAAAGCCUUUAGAAAGUCCAACGGAAUCCAAAAAAUAUAUAUAUGAAUAAAAAUAUAAAUUUCUUGAUAUUUAACGACAAUUUAUCUGAUAGCUGAUAAUACUUAUCGGCGCAAUCGGAAUAAUUAACGAAGCGACGCGUCAUUGAGUGAACUUGUGAAAGAUAAUUAAAUUGAAUAAAAAUAUAAUCAAAUUACGGAACGGAAAUUAAAAUGAAUUAUCACUUGUUAAAUAUAGUUCUCAUUAAAUAAUUGUACUAAAAAAAAAUUAUGAAACUUGACCUCUCUGCUCAACGAAAACUAUUUUAUUUUAAAUUCGGUGGUAAAAUAAAGUAAUUUUAAUCCAUCCCACACCCACAUUACCUCUUAGAUGUAUUUUCUACACAAAAUAAUUACACUGUGUUCAUACGAAUUAAUUAAAUUCUGGCUAUACAGUAAGAUUUGUCAAUUCAUUAAGAUCAAAGUAUGUAAUUUUUCGAUUAUUAAUAAUUGCUAUUAUUACAAUUACAAUUAUAUCUACAAUCACAUGUCUAGAAUUUAUAUGCUUUGAUUUAUGUUGAACAUCAUGUGCGCAAAAAAAAAAAUUUUCUUGGCACAAGAAAUAUUUUUCUUCAUACGAAAAAAAAUAGAUAGUACUGGUUACUGUUCUGCGCAGUAAUCGACGAAGAAUAUAGGAAAAAAUACAAUUUAAUAUGACUGAUUCAUAUUAGAACAGGAGUGUCAUUGCUUAACAUGUAUAUAUACUAUUACUUUUUAAACAGUAACCAGUGCUGUGCUACACAGUACAUAAAACAUAUGACUGGUUACUGUUAAAAUAGUCGUCGUUCAUAGUUCAAUAGUACACGGAGAAAUUAUUAUUGUUUGAAAUGCUAUGAUGUCAUAGUAAAGCCGGACUGCGUUGAUCACCUGCCGGAAAUUGAAAUAAACACAUGCAAAAAUUACUACGACCAUAGUAAAAUUUACGAUAGUUACAGUAAUUUGUGAUAUAAUCGUCGUAAAUUUUACUAUGACCAUGGUAUUUUUGACAUCUGUUUAUUUCAAUGUUCAUAAGGUGGUCACCAUGGUCCGGCUUUACUAUGACACCAUAGCAUUUUAAACAAGAAUAAUUUUUCCGUGUAUACAAAGAUCUCAGCACAGCUCUUGUUGCUGUAAAGAAUGCGAACACUUACUAUGUACAGUCGAACUCCAUUAACUCGGAACUUCCCCUUAAUCUUGAUCCCCACUAUGAGCUACGGUGUUUCCCACCCAAUGCUAUACAUUUGUAUGUGUCUGCGUAUAUUUACAUGUCAUCAUUCAUGUAAAUGUAAGAGCACAUGCGUAUAGUUUAGUUUUUAAGGGAGAGGGGGUAUCCGUUAACUCGAAAAUUCCAAGAAAUUUCCGCUCCUCCGUAGACUAAUUGUCCAAGUUAAUGAAAUCUACGAGAUAUAAGUAACCAUUCCUGUCACUAACUAGUAAGUUCUUGCAUUCUAUACCGCAACCAGAGCUGUACUGAGAGGUUUGCAUACUCUUGUCCUAUGAACGACGACUAUUUUAACAGUAACCAGUCAUAUGUUUCAUGUACUGUGUAGCACAGCACUGGUUACUGUUUAAAAAGUAAUAGUACAUGUUAAGCAAUGACACUCCUGUUCUAAUAUGAAUCAGUCAUAUUAAACUGUAUUUUUCCUUAUAUUCUUUUCGCAGAACAGUAACCAAUACUAUCUAUUUCUUUCGAUGUGAAGAAAAAAAUUUUCUCGGGACUAGAAAAAAUUUUUUGCGCCAAGAAAUCCUUUUUUCUGUGUGGUUAUAAAAAAAAAAUAUUUAUGGUGUAAUUUAAUUAAAACUGAGACUGCGAUGGCGAUUAUAACUAAAGAAUAAAAAUAAAUAUAAUUUUUAUUUUAAAAUAUUUAAAAUUAAAUAUUAGAAUCCAAAAAAUAUUUAAGGUACCAAAAAACAAAAAAAAAAAAUAUAUAUAUAGUAAUUAUUAUUUUUAUUCUUCAGUUUGUCGACAACUCUCGCUUCCUACCACUAAUUAUGUAUUCUACUAAAAAAAAAAAAAAAAAAAAAACAAAAAAAAAACAAUAAUAAUAACAA